UUUGGCAAAUUUUUCCCUCAUUUUUUCUCGAAGAGAUUUCCGCUCUCGUGUUAUCUCCUCAUGAGCUGGAUCUUCUACAUUUCUCUGGCCGUCCUCAGCCAUUAGCCGCUGACGCUCGUCGAUCUCUUUCUCAGACAACAUUCUCAAUCGUCUAUUAGCGAUGUCACGGCGUUCCUUUGCCGUCAGAUUUGAGUUAUCGUAAUCGUCUUCAAUGUCCCCUACCCGGGACUGGAGUUCCUUAUACCUAUGCUGACGAUGAGAUGGUUGCACUUGGUUGAUUUGGUAUGGCGUAACGAGAUUGAUUGGAGCUGCAUCCCCGAGAUCUUUCUCGUCUUGCAAGCUGCGUCUCUCUCUCGUUAUCCGUCGCUGCUGUCGUUGUUUUGGACCUUUUCUCUGCUUCAUCGGCGAUGCUUCUUGCACCUCGUCCAUCUCUUCUUCGUCUUCAUUGUACUGAUUAUACUGGCUGGCAUCAGCCAUACGCUGUUUGUUCUUCUUUGGUUUUCCCUUAAUGCGUGCUGUAUCAACAGGAACUCUGCGAAGGCGUUUCUUGCCAUUGCUAUCCGUGUAUUUCUCAUAAACCGCCUCAUCUGAGCUUUCAUCUUGAGCUUGGUCUUCUACUUUAUCCCCUCGCUCCAUAAUUUUCUUCCUUUCCCUGUUUUUCGCCUCUCCUUCAGCUGCCCCCUCAUUUUUCUCUUUCGUCUUCUUCUUUUUAAGCUUCUUCUUCUGUUUCUUUCCCUUCUUAUCGUUCUCUCUAUCCUCCCCUUCUCCUUCCUCUUCCUCUUCAUCCUCUUCCUCUUCUUCUCCCGUCUCACCAGUGCUUAACUGCUUCGUAUCUCCCUUCUUCUCCUUUUCCUUCCUGCUAUUCCUCUUGGGUAUUUCGCCUUCUGUUCGAUUAGUGUUCUUCUCCUUGUUAUUUUUGCUGGAGUUUUUAACUACCACUUUCUCUUCUUCAGACUCUUCGAUCUCUUUAAGAAUCUCCCUUUUGACAGUCUCCUUUGUUUCCGGAUCCUCGACAAGUAUUUCCACCUCUUUCAAUUCCCUGACUUUUUCGGUAUUGUCUCCCUUCUUUUCUGUCGUCUUCUUAAUCUUCUCCUCCUUUGGCUUUCUCUUUGACUUUUCAUUUUCAGCGAUGUCCUCGUCCUCAAAUGCCGCCUCGAUUUCGUUUUUCUCUUCUUCCUGUUCUUGUUCACUGACCGCUUCCUUUUUCUCUGCAUUUCGGACUUUGACCUUCCCAUCAGAGUCGUUCUUCUUUAUCCGUCGAGCCCUAUUGACUUCUUCUAUAUCAAGAGAAGUAGUAGGUCUGGAUGAGACAUCGCCGAAUCGUACUUUGGAGGUCAUAGGGAUUUUAAUUGAGGAAGGAGAGGUUGUAACUAUGGAAUGGUUUUUGUCAUAGGCCUUCAUCUUCUCUCCUUGGUCGGCCCCUCCCUGUCUAAUUUUGUUAACUUUGUUAUGGGCUUUGAGGGGCGAGAGCAGUAUGGCAAUCGGGUCGUCACCACGAUCUUUCGGAUCUCGCACGUAGAUCGGAUUGAGAUCCUGCUUCAUUGUUAGUUGUAACUCUCACUUUUUCCGCGACUUACGAUAGGACUCAUCAGAGGAGCGUCACCCCAUACUCCUGAGGUCUCCAUUCCAGGGCUUCCAACGGUAAUGUCGCCCACAUUUGCAAGGCGGGUUCUGCUCAAGUGUCCGAACAUUGUAGGUGCAUAUUUGUUACCUGGGUCCAGCCCAGGUCCCAGCGUCUCAUUCAGUCCAGGAACACGCAAUACGUCUGAAAGGGUCUUUGGCGUCGUAGCUCCUUUCGGUUGAUUAUACCAGCCCAGCUCUUCUGCUGUGAAAGUCGUCUUGGUGGGAGCCGCGGAAGUGUAGGCCCAAGGAUCUAACCCAUCCUCAGAAACAUCAGAAACAAGAAUAGGAUAGACAUGUUGCAGAGUAGCUGUUACAGGCGGGUUGGCUGAUGCAGGCGUCAUCACAGGAGUAUCGGGAGUGCGCAGAGUUUGCUUGAAGGGACCAGGGGUAGUAGGGGGUAGGUCAAAGGCAGGAACGAAGCCAGGGGUGAGUGGAGUAGCAGGACCCAUCGAGGUAAAAGGUGGCGGAUUUUCACUGGAUUGCGGAAUCCUGAUAGCCUCUGCUCCCCCUCCUGGACCAUCGCUUGAUCGAGGCCAACCACCACCUCUGGGGGUUGAAUCAUUGGGGUCUCCAUUGUAUAUUGUCCGUACUCGAUAUCUAUCGCCUGGAUUGCUCUGAACAGUAAGCUUGAGGUCAUCAGCGAUACGAAAUACGUCCGUCAUUGUGCCGGCGCGAGUGCCCGAGUGUCCAGGAGGGGAAUCUGGAGAAGUAGUUGAAGAACCUCCAUCCCGUCUUCCCCCAUGGCCAUCGCCAUCGUCGCUACCUUCUUCCCCUCUAACUCUGCUGCCGCCGUCAUCAUUCGUCCCUCCUUCAUCCUUGCCCCGCCGUCCCUCCUUAUGUUUCUUCCUCUUCUUACCAUCAUCCUGCUUCGAAUCUCGACUCUUGCGUCUGUCGUCGGGGCUGCCGUCCCUGGUUUGGCUACUGUCGUUAUCUGGGACAUCCAACUGAUUAUUUUUGCGCCGCCCGCCAAUGACAAAGGUGAAGAUGGAGGCAAAGAACAACAGCGCAAGUACUGAGACGAUGGUGAUCGCCUCUUUGGCUGCUGUUUCUGGGCUGGCCAUCUUGGGCCGUUUGAGCUCGGAAGUUCUACAGCUUUGUCAGUUUAGCUGUCCUUUCAGUAUUUCACAAGUACGUGAUGGUGUAUUGAGGCUGGUGCGGAAUGUCGCACAUGGAAUCGAGAGCUGCAGGGACCAAAAACAAAGGAACGGCAUCUCGCGAAACAUCCAAGCCGG
This 2855-nucleotide small RNA is filed under the name Cryptococcus neoformans H99. RNAcentral describes it as "Cryptococcus neoformans var. grubii H99 hypothetical RNA". The record is from RNAcentral. Lineage: Eukaryota; Fungi; Basidiomycota; Tremellomycetes; Tremellales; Cryptococcaceae.